Molecule: small nuclear RNA, 108 nt
Organism: Octodon degus (degu)
Lineage: Eukaryota; Metazoa; Chordata; Mammalia; Rodentia; Octodontidae
Source: Ensembl
GCUCUCUCGCUUCGCAGCACAUAUACUAAAAUUGGAACGAUACAGAGAAGAUUAGCAUGGCCCCUGCUCAAGGAUGACACGCAAAUUCGUGAAGCGUUCCAUAUUAAA